AACGUAGGAGGCAAGCGUUAUCCGGAGUUACUGGGCGUAAAGCGCGUGUAGGUGGAUCGGUAAGUUACUUAUAAAAGCUCCUGGCUAAACUAGGAGAGGUUGAGUGAUACUGCCAGUCUUGAAUAGAGGAGAGGUUGACGGAAUUCCCAGUGUAGCGGUGAAAUGCGUAGAUACUGGGAGGAACACCGGUGGCGAAGGCGGCUACCUGGACCGGUUCUGACGCUAAUGCGCGAAAGCGUGGGUAGCAAACAGG
Molecule: ribosomal RNA, 253 nt
Filed under: uncultured bacterium
Lineage: Bacteria
Description: partial 16S ribosomal RNA
Rfam family: Bacterial small subunit ribosomal RNA
Source: RNAcentral